CAGCCUUAUCCAUCCCAACGGAGAGAGAGAAAACAUACUUUUCUCCGCCUUUUCACUACUCUCUUAGUCUCUCUCUCAUUCUCCCUCACCUUGUUUACAAUAUGGAGAUGGUGUUCUCAAUUCUUAUAAUGCUAAAUCUCAAAGGGUGUAGCUGUGUUUUUUUUUCUUGUCCUUCUCUCGAUCUCCUCCACAGUUUCUCCGAUCUCCUUAUUUUCAUCUCUCUAUUAAGAACCAGAAAGAAAAACCAUUUCUUCUUGUACCCUUCUUCAUCUCUACAGAUCCAUUUGAUAAUUACUAAACCAAAUCGACCUUCAUCAACCUAAGAAUUAACUCUAUGAACCAGAAAGAAAGACCCUACCAUGAAAUCUAAAACCAUUUCUUUGAAACCCUUACCUUGUAAACAAACCCAUUUUAUGUUGUUCUUUAACCAAUUUCAUGUUUGAAAAAAACCCAUUAUUUUUUCUUCACCAAUUCCUUUUCGUGUUAGCAGUUAGGGAUUUGGUUUUCUACAAAUAUCGGGUUAAACGUUAGGGUUUGCAAUUUAAUUUUUCUUUAUUUUUCAUCUUUGAAGUUAAGGUUUGAUUUUGUUGACAGGGUUUUAAUUUAUCAUUCGUUUUCUUCUAUUGUAGCAAUUGCUAGAAGAAUAUUCAACAUCUCCACCUGCAUUUUUUUUUUUUUUGAAGAUCUUCAGUCUUCAAGGGAUGUAUGAGAUGAAAGAAGAACCACUGGUGGUGGUAAAUGGGCGUAUUGAAGAAACCGUUGGCGGUGAUGGUAACUAGAUCGCUGGUGGUGGUGGAGGUUGUAUGGACUGAACUGGCGGUGGUGAAUGGAUACUUGGAGAGGGAAUCAACGAGUUCGAUAAAGUGAUGGUAACUAGCUCGCUGCUAGUGGUGGAGGUUGUAUGAACAGAACUGGUGGUCGUGAAUCGGUAAUUGGAGAGCGAGAUCAAGGUCUUUUCCGCUUGUAGUUUGUUGGAGCCCAUGAAAAAGACUGCGUCUCAAAGUAACAUUGAAGAUGGACUACAUGGGUUUCGAGUGUAAACAGAAAGAAAUAUAGGUGAUUCCGUCGUAUAUUCGUAUAGAUUAAACUACAAUUCUGCACUUGGUACGUAAGAGUUAAUACUUGGCUAGGUGAUACGUUAAUGCUUUUAAUUUGGUUGAAAGAAUCAUGAAUCGUGAUGUGAUCUAAGAUCUGUGGUACCUUUGAUUGGCAGUCUGAGAGUAAUUUUAAGUUUCAUUGUACAUGAUAUAAUCAUAUAAGUUUUAUGUCACUUGUCUUUUUAGAAUUUGGAGAGAAAAUAUUAAUGCUUGUAAUGUUCGAAAUUUUAUCGAUGUGAUAUCAUAUGGUA
This is a long non-coding RNA of Papaver somniferum (opium poppy), 1348 nucleotides long. RefSeq lists it as uncharacterized. The record is from RefSeq and is a predicted model, not a curated record. The transcript has 3 exons. NCBI's taxonomy places the organism in Eukaryota, Viridiplantae, Streptophyta, Magnoliopsida, Ranunculales, Papaveraceae.